Molecule: ribosomal RNA, 433 nt
Filed under: uncultured bacterium
Lineage: Bacteria
Description: partial 16S ribosomal RNA
Rfam family: Bacterial small subunit ribosomal RNA
Source: RNAcentral
AACGAACGCUGGCGGCAUGCCUAACACAUGCAAGUCGAACGAGACCUUCGGGUCUAGUGGCGCACGGGUGCGUAACGCGUGGGAACCUGCCCUUAGGUUCGGAAUAACUCCCCGAAAGGGGUGCUAAUACCGGAUAAUGUCUUCGGACCAAAGAUUUAUCGCCUUUGGAUGGUCCCGCGUUGGAUUAGCUGGUUGGUAGGGUAAAAGCCUACCAAGGCGACGAUCCAUAGCUGGUCUGAGAGGAUGAUCAGCCACACUGGGACUGAGACACGGCCCAGACGCCUACGGGAGGCAGCAGUGGGGAAUAUUGGACAAUGGGCGAAAGCCUGAUCCAGCAAUGCCGCGUGAGUGAUGAAGGCCUUAGGGUUGUAAAGCUCUUUUACCCGGGAUGAUAAUGACAGUACCGGGAGAAUAAGCUCCGGCUAACUCCGUG